GUGGGGAAUUUUGGACAAUGGGCGCAAGCCUGAUCCAGCAAUGCCGCGUGCAGGAAGAAGGCCUUCGGGUUGUAAACUGCUUUUGUACGGAACGAAACGGUCCGGGUUAAUACCCUGGGCUAAUGACGGUACCGUAAGAAUAAGCACCGGCUAACUACGUGCCAGCAGCCGCGGUAAUACGUAGGGUGCAAGCGUUAAUCGGAAUUACUGGGCGUAAAGCGUGCGCAGGCGGUUUUGUAAGACAGGCGUGAAAUCCCCGGGCUCAACCUGGGAAUUGCGCUUGUGACUGCAAGGCUGGAGUGCGGCAGAGGGGGAUGGAAUUCCGCGUGUAGCAGUGAAAUGCGUAGAUAUGCGGAGGAACACCGAUGGCGAAGGCAAUCCCCUGGGCCUGCACUGACGCUCAUGCACGAAAGCGUGGGGAGCAAACAGGAUUAGAUACCCCGGUAGUCC
Molecule: ribosomal RNA, 450 nt
Filed under: uncultured bacterium
Lineage: Bacteria
Description: bacterial SSU rRNA
Rfam family: Bacterial small subunit ribosomal RNA
Source: RNAcentral